Molecule: ribosomal RNA, 576 nt
Filed under: uncultured Pseudomonadota bacterium
Lineage: Bacteria; Pseudomonadati; Pseudomonadota
Description: bacterial SSU rRNA
Rfam family: Bacterial small subunit ribosomal RNA
Source: RNAcentral
AUGGAGGGGGAUAACUACUGGAAACGGUAGCUAAUACCGCAUAACGUCGCAAGACCAAAGAGGGGGACCCUCGGGCCUCUUGCCAUCGGAUGUGCCCAGAUGGGAUUAGCUUGUUGGUGGGGUAACGGCUCACCAAGGCGACGAUCCCUAGCUGGUCUGAGAGGAUGACCAGCCACACUGGAACUGAGACACGGUCCAGACUCCUACGGGAGGCAGCAGUGGGGAAUAUUGCACAAUGGGCGCAAGCCUGAUGCAGCCAUGCCGCAUGUAUGAAGAAGGCCUUCGGGUUGUAAAGUACUUUCAGCGGGGAGGAAGGGAGUAAAGUUAAUACCUUUGCUCAUUGACGUUACCCGCAGAAGAAGCACCGGCUAACUCCGUGCCAGCAGCCGCGGUAAUACGGAGGGUGCAAGCGUUAAUCGGAAUUACUGGGCGUAAAGCGCACGCAGGCGGUUUGUUAAGUCAGAUGUGAAUCCCCGGGCUCAACCUGGGAACUGCAUCUGAUACUGGCAAGCUUGAGUCUCGUAGAGGGGGGUAGAAUUCCAGGUGUAGCGGUGAAAUGCGUAGAGAUCUGGAGGA